UGUUCAGUUACUGAGAUGAGCAAGCUGUGCAGCUGUGCCCAUCCUAACUGGUUCCCAGUGAUUUGCAUGCACUCACUGCACAGCCUUGAGGACUUCUUCAUAUACCAGUCACACCCUGUACAGUUGUCACUGCAGUCAGGACUCAGCAUGGACAUGAGGGCCCCUGCUCAGCUCCUUGGGCUCCUGGUGUUCUGGCUUCCAGGUGCCAGAUGUGACAUCCAGAUGACCCAGUCUCCAUCCUCCUUGUCUGCAUCUCUUGGUGACAGAGUCACCAUCACUUGCCGGGCCAGUCAGGGCAUUAGCAGUUAUUUAAUCUGGUUACAGCAGAAACCAGGGAGAGCUCCUAAGCGCCUGAUCUACCGUGCAUCCAACUUGGCAGAUGGGGUCCCAUCGAGGUUCAGUGGCAGUGGGUCUGGGACAGAUUAUUCUCUCAGCAUCAGCAACCUGGAGUCUGAAGACUUUGCAACUUAUUACUGUCUACAGGAUGCUCAGUAUCCUCCCACAGUGAUACAAGUCAUAACAUAAACCUCAGUGGAAGCA
Non-coding RNA from Peromyscus leucopus (white-footed mouse), 540 nucleotides. The record is from the annotation of a RefSeq genome assembly. Lineage: Eukaryota; Metazoa; Chordata; Mammalia; Rodentia; Cricetidae.